UAACAUAUAAAGCCAUGUGAGGUCUGUGAGAUGCCUCCUAUAAGCAGAGUAAGAGCAGCCUGCGUCUCUUAGAAAGGUCAUCACAGAAAGAUUUGGGCCCACAACUGUUCAAGCCACAGUGACAAGUGAAAUGCUUAUCAAGUAGAUCUUGAAAUAUACCAGGUUCCCCAGUCCAUCUAAACAGUGUGCAGAGCGAGGAGAGCAGGGCUACAGGGAAGAGCGGGAUCACCAAGCCUCCAUUACAGGCAAUCUCAGGCGAGCGGCCUGGCAGCCCCAUGCUGUGAGGAACCUGGGCCUGCUCGGCUGGGAUUCCUCCAUGUGAGGGGCUGGGGUAGCAGUGCUGGGAGCUGCUCUGAGGGCAGGGAGUGCUUGGGACAGGAAAGAAAAAGGCCCUGUGCAUUUGCAGGCUCCUGAUCCUACUGAAGGAGGGGACUGCAGCAGGGGUCAGGAUUUGGCAGAGCUCCCUCUGAGGACAAAAACAAGAUUCUGCUGCCCCUGACUACUGAGGAUCCCCUCUACAAGUCCAGCAUAGUAUGAAGUGUAGUUUCCACAUCUGUGUGUCAAAAUGGAAAGAACAUCUGAGAUGAAGUUUGCUGCAUGCAAAUCAUCACAGUAGGUUUCUAACGACCAAAUCUUGCUCUAGUCAGUGAACACAGCUGCCACCUAGAGACUUCACUUCUUCCUGAAUAUACAUGUUGGCUUUCGAAUUACUGCCACUGCAGAAAAUUCACUCGCCACUUGCACAGUUUCAGACAUGAAGAUUAAACUGUUCUGACCCACUUACAGUUUGGAAAGGAAGUCCUUUCAACCCUGUCCUCCACAGCAAAAUGAAAUAAAUACGAUAAGGGACCAGGAUAUAUAUUAUUUACACCAGCAGUUUCAAAUAACUGUGACUGGUCAGCUUCAUGUCAGGUGCCCUCAACAUAAGAGAAAACAGUUUUGAUUAAUACUGGAACUCAAUGAAGACUUUAUUGGUAUUGGCUCGGUAGUGUUCAGGAAGGGGAUAAUUUCUGCUUUUGCAUUAGUGUAACUAAGGUUCACAGUUCUUAAUCUGUAAGUGCCUACACAUUUAUUUUUAAAUUUAUCUACUCCCCUCACCAAAAUCUUUCUGAGUUUUUGUUUGUUGUUCUUUUUUUACUUAAUAUAGAUAAUUCUAGCAAUUUAAUUUUAUAUCUAUUGUGUAGCCCACAUGAUAUUAACUUGAAUCUCUACAAUUUCUUUGAGCUUUAGAUGACUACACAUUAGUUAACAUCAUUUCUAACAGCAGAAAUGGAGUCAUAAACUUUCAUUUUGACAUGUUGGAUUAAGAGCGCUAACAGGGACCUGUUAAAAUAGGAAAACUGUCAUAACGUCAAGGAAAUUGGUUCAAGUUAAUGUAGAUGGUUGAUAAAACAAGAAUGUCAAUUCAUUUUGAAUCUGCCUUUCCCUAAAAUAUGUGGGCAGUCUCUGAGGUAUGAGAGUCAAGAAGCAGUAUCAUUUCCAACUAUUGAAGAGAAAUAUGCAGAAUAUGGCAUUCUCCCUUCAUUUCUCUUAUUCACCUCGGAACUGUUAUUUUAUGUUCCUUUCUGUUUGUUUCUAUUCAUUACUGACCUUUGUUUCUCAGUGACCUCAGUGUGCCAACUGGCAUAAAAGGGGAUGUGGAGAUGCUGGACUCUGUAGGUCAGAAGUCCUUGUAGAUGUCCUCACUCCCUUUCCUACUUUUGACCAUUUCUCCAUUAGUGACCUGGAGUUCUUAGACUACUUCUUUGCCUUUGCAAAACAUCUGAAAAGACUGGAGUAUUGGAAACCUAACUAGACUCUCAAAUUUCACUUGGGAGAUAGAUUUAUUGUAAACUUGAGUGAGAGAAUAACAAUAAAGUGAGAGAAUAACAUAACAUUUAUAAAAUAAAAUAUAA
Molecule: long non-coding RNA, 1895 nt
Organism: Numida meleagris (helmeted guineafowl)
Lineage: Eukaryota; Metazoa; Chordata; Aves; Galliformes; Numididae
Exons: 3
Source: RefSeq, a predicted model, not a curated record